Molecule: unclassified non-coding RNA, 271 nt
Filed under: Hevea brasiliensis (rubber tree)
Lineage: Eukaryota; Viridiplantae; Streptophyta; Magnoliopsida; Malpighiales; Euphorbiaceae
Source: RNAcentral
AGUAUAUAGGUAUGUUAUUGUUUUUUAUUAUUAAAUAAGAUAUAUUUAGUAUAUUUUUUGGAGAAGGUAAUGGUAUUUUAUUUUAGUAUUUUUGUUUGGAGAAUUUUAUGGAUAGAGGAGUUUGGUGGGUUAUAGUUUAUGGGGUUAUAAAGAGUUAGAUAUGAUUUAGUGUUUGAGUAUAUGAGGUAAAAAUUUUAGUAGAGAUGGUUCGUAUUUAGUUGUUGAUUUUUAAUUAUGAUGAGGUUUUUAGUAAGAUAGGGUAGUUUAUUAU